RNAcentral lists this long non-coding RNA (1296 nucleotides) under Capra hircus (goat). Its description in RNAcentral is "lncRNA (ENSCHIG00010005664.1)". The record is from RNAcentral. Lineage: Eukaryota; Metazoa; Chordata; Mammalia; Artiodactyla; Bovidae.
AUGAACUGAAUGAAAUUAUUAUGAGCAAUUAUGCAAACAGCUCUGGAGUAUAGAAAACAAUAUUUUGAAUGUCUCUGCUAGGAAGGAGGUGAUUUUUAUGGAAAAGGGCAUCGUUUAGCUUUCAAAAUUCAAAAACAGUGUUUUUCAUUAUGUAAGUAACAUUCAGCCCACCAUUGAAAGUCUGUGAACUAGGGCACAAACAUGCGGAGAGUUCACGGCGGUGACCAGCAGGGCCGGGCAUCCCGCAGGUCCGCCAGGGUUCCCUCCUGCCCUCCCGCCCCAGGCAAAUGUGCGUCUGUGUGGUGGGGGUCAUACUGUCUCAAGAGGUUUCUUGUUUUGUUGCUUUUCCCUUUGUUAUGAAUAGUCUUCAUAAAUAUCAUUUCCUCUUUAGUGUUCCUUUGUUGAAAAUAGCUUUACUGUGUACAUAACAUUAAUUUAUGCUCAUUAAUAACUUUUACUGAGUCUCUUUUAGGUACCAGGCAUUUUCCAUGGUCUCUCUGUUUUUAUUCUCAAAACAAGUACAUGGCAAAUACCAUCCGACGAGGAAAUUGGUCUCAGGACCACUCAUGAGCUUGUCCAGACUGUCCAGUUUGCCAGGUGGCAGGGUUCUGAAGACUGUCCUCUUUCUACCUUGCUAUGUUGUCAUGUUUUGCUUAUUUCACCUGAUCAUCUGUGGAUCCAGGAGUUAUGAACUGUGGGGAACAUCCCUUUGCAUCUUGUUCUGUGGAAAAGAAUAUGUCAGAGACUCAGGAUCUGGCCCUGUAUUUUAUGUUAUAGUGUAAAUGGUUUUCUACAACUCAGCAAAGGGGAACACGCCUUUUUUCUUUAAGUGUAUGAAUAUUGGUGUUUGGCUUCAAUUUAUGUUUUCAAAUUUAGUUCACAUUCCAAUCAUUUUUUUGCAGAGGAAAAAGCCAUAGUUUUUAGGUUUGGGUUCAUCACUGGUUAACUAUCCCAUUUGAAAUCCACAUAGUCAGCUACAUACUUGAAACCCCUUCCAUGGACACCCAACCCUUUUGGAAGGAUGGAAAGCACACUAAGAAAAAUCCAGCUGUCCUUAAAGAAACAUUCAAAGACUACUAAUGGGCACCGUCAAAUGGAUCUCAUUGUACCUUUUCACUGAGAACUGAUUCAAAAUGUAGCAUUCUCUCAAUGUUGGGGUAUGCUUAGAAACACUAAGAAUUCUUCAUUGUCCUUUCACUGUGUAUAUAACCUAUUGAGGUAAACCAUGCCAUCCUAAACAGCCUCAAACAUCAGUUCAGUUCAGUUCAGUCUCUCAGUCGUGUCCGACUCUUUGCG